This 2093-nucleotide long non-coding RNA is filed under the name Oryctolagus cuniculus (rabbit). RNAcentral's name for it is "lncRNA (ENSOCUG00000032989.1)". Lineage: Eukaryota; Metazoa; Chordata; Mammalia; Lagomorpha; Leporidae. The record is from RNAcentral.
CGUGCUCUCGCGGGAGAGGGCUCAGUAAACAUUUGCUGAGUGGAGCAUGAUCAAUAAGUCAACACUGCAACCGGGAUAAACACACGGACCGGCUGAGGACAGAGAGGAUUCCAGCGCGAGCCUGGCAAGCAAACAUCCAGGGAAACCCGAGCCCCGGCGUUGGGUGAGACCCCGGGGUGGGGGUGGGGGGCAGCUGUCCCCAUCACAGUCACCACAGUCACUUGUGUGCUCAGCUCCAGGCCCCGCGCGAGCGCUCACCCCACCUGGAGGGAGGCAGCGGGCGGAGCCCCAACAGCUGUUGUCCCAGGGUGCUCUCGGGAGGGGCCCCACCUGCCGUGGCUCCAGCUCUGCUCCUGGGUUUCCUAAGGGGCCCUGGGUCCCCGGGGAGGGGGCCUGUGGUCUCCAGGGCAUUUCUGAGUCCCGGCUCCUCGUCCAGGGCAUUUGAGUACCGGACACCUGCCGUUCUGUUGGCACAAGCUCCCCUCUCCCUCACGUCCCAGCUCCACGUUGACCGGCUUGAACUGUGUGCAAGAGAAAGCAGACACAGCCUGUGGGCUUCACCCCGGGACCGAGAAGAGAGAGGAGGGCUGUGUGCGCCCACGCGUGAGCUCACUCUGAACCCACACGUGUGCCCACAAUGCCUGGGCUGUGUCAGAGCUGCACACACCACACGUGUGUCCACACCGCCCAGGGCUGUGUCAGCUGCAUACACCACACGUGUGUCCACACCGCCCGGGGCUGUGUCAGAGCUCCAUGCACCACACGUGUGCUCAUGUCUCCCAGGACUGUCAGAACUGCAGCCACACACCACACGUGUGCUCAUGCCGCCUGGGACUGUGUCAGAGCUCCACGCACCCCAUGUGUGCUCACGCCGCCUGGGACUGUGGGCAGAGCUGCAGAGCCAUUGGGCGGGAGCUCCAAGGGGAAGACCAGGCUCUGAGAGGGGCCGGAAGCCUUCCCUUCUCCCUCUGUUCGCCCCCAGUGAGACCGCAAGCCCCUUCCAUGGUGCCGAGAGGGUGUCUUCCACAUGUCCCUCUCCACAGCCACACGGCAGGCCCAGGCCACCAUUCAGCUCCGUUUCCCGGCAAUGUUUCCAGUCCUUUCCGCCCCCCCGCGACCCAGGCUGCAGCUGUGUGGCCUCCGCAUCCUGGAUGAUGACCCCCGACCCGGUCGCAGUCGCAGGGGAGCCUAGUGCACACCUGCUCCCAACACACGCAGGGUGGCCCUUCCUCCUCUGCGUCCCACCCUCCCCUCCAAGUCCUGGUUGUGCUGGCAGACAGGCCCCACCUCCCAGCCCUCCCCAGCCCUCCCGGACCCUCCCAGAGCCGGAAUGACGCGUGGGCUCCACCAUCCAGAGUGAAAAACCCACAGAGACCCCUGUGGUGGGUUCCUACAGGACCAUCAGUCCCUAAAUGCAAGUCUAUCAAACUUCAGCUUUUUAAAAUAUUUGUGUGCGUUUAUCUGAGGGCAGAAGGACGGAGAUGGAGAUGAGACAGACAGCGAGCUUCCCCAUGGCCAGUUCACUGCCUCAGGCCAAAGCUGGGAGCCGGAAACUCCAUCUGGAUCUCCCACACACGUGGCUGGCAGGGACCCAGCUGCUUGAACCAUCACCUGCUGCUGGAGCCAUGACUCGAACUCAGGCCCAAGAUACGGGACGGAGGCAUUCCAGCUGGCAUCGCAGCAGGUGUGCCAAAGCCCGCCGCAGGCCUGCGGGGCUGUCACAGGACUUAGUGAGAUAACAAACGCUUGCCCUUCCUCAGGGCUGGGAGGACUUUGUGUCCAGCAUGCGGUCAGGCAUCCCCGGAAGCACUUGGCAUCGCUCCGCCUUUCCGCAGAUGAGAUGCACAGAGGGGCAGGCAGCUUGCCUGAGGUCACACAGCCUGUGGAUGACUAGGCCGACUGGGGGGCUGAGCAGUCCAGGCCACACUGGACCACUGAGGCAGAGUGUGUUGCGUAAACAGCAGCUGUGAGGAUGAUGGUGGCAGAGGAUGGCGACAGGUUUGGCCCUGGUCAGUGGCCACCUCACCAGGGUCUGGUCUUGGCUGUUCCCAGUACUCCCAAGAAUAAAUUAGCAUGCAACUUCCUAAAGACCA